AAAGUCUUAAGUUAAAUAAAACUAGAAGCCUUCAAAGCUUCCAAUAUAAAUAUUAUAGAUUUUA
Molecule: transfer RNA, 64 nt
Filed under: Dilar sp. YW-2016
Lineage: Eukaryota; Metazoa; Arthropoda; Insecta; Neuroptera; Dilaridae
Description: tRNA-Trp
Source: RNAcentral